CAGCCGCCGCGGUAAUACCAGCGCCUCGAGUAGUACCCACGAAUAUUGGGCCUAGAGCGUCCGUAGCCGGUCAAGUUAGUCUUCUGUGAAAUGUUGGGGCUCAACCCUAACGCGUGCAGGAGAUACUGCUAGACUAGGGAACGGGGGAGGACAGGAGUACACCUGGGGUAGGGGUAAAAACCUGUGAAUUACAUUCACAAUUUGUAAUCCGCAGGAUUACAAUCCGUUGAGCCUGGGUGGACUAUCAGUGGCGUAGGCGCCUGUCUAAAACGUAUCCGACGGUGAGGGACGAAAGCUGGGGGAGCGAACGGGAUUAGAUACCCCGGUAGUCCCAGCUGUAAAUAAUGCAGACUUUGGUGUUUCGCAUGAGUAAUCAUGCGAAGUGCUGUAGCGUAGAACCUUUUUUGGUAUGCCUAAAAAGCUUCACCAAAAAGUGUGCGCAAGUGUUAAGUCUGCCGCCUGGGGAGUACGAUCGCAAGAUUUAAACUUAAAGGAAUUGGCGGGGGAGCACCACAAGCCGUGGAUGCUACGGUUUAAUUGGAUACAACGCCGGGAAUAUCACCAAGGACGACGGCAGUAUGAAGGUCAGACUAAAGAUCUUGCCAGACGCGCCGAGAGGUAUUGCAUGGCCAUCGUCAGCUCGUGGCGUGAACGCGUAACUUUAUUGGAACGCGACGUAAACUGUCCGGUUAAGUCCGGCAACGAGCGAGACCCAUGCCUUUAGUUGCUAAUUUCUUCUCCGGAAGAGAUGCACUCUAGAUGGACUGCCCGUGUUAAAUGGGAGGAAGGAGUGGGCGACGGUAGGUCAGUAUGGUCCGAAAUCCUUGGGCUACAC
This 835-nucleotide ribosomal RNA is filed under the name uncultured archaeon. Its description in RNAcentral is "bacterial SSU rRNA". It matches the Rfam family "Archaeal small subunit ribosomal RNA", at positions 459 to 1175 of the family's 1478-position model. The record is from RNAcentral.